UCAGCCUCCCAAAGUGCUGGGAUUACAGGCGUGAGCCACUGCACCCAGCCCAGAUAUUUAUUUUUGAAUGAUGCUAGGCUCUGAGGAUGCAAAGGUUGUUUCAGUUGUUAUUCCUGCUCUGCAGGAGUUCCCAGUCCAGGAGGAGAUAGUGGCAGGAGUGACAAACUAUGCCCCAGAAAGCCAGGAAAGGCUCCUCUGGCAAGUGACGUUGAACUAGGACUUGAAGAUCAAGUAGGAGUUCACCAGGCAGACAGGAUGAGGUUAGCUGGGAUAUUUCAACAGCAUGGACAACAGGGCAUGAGAAAAUGGGAAGAGAGAAUGGGCAAGGGGUCAUCGAUGGACCGGAGAUGGGAUGGUAGGGACAGAAACUGCAGGGUCCGCAGAAGGAACUGCUCACCGAAAGCCAACAAGCUUGCCCUGUGGAAUCCCAGAAAGGCCCAGGAACUUCGGGACAUCACUGAAGGCAGAGUGAAGAGAGGAAGAGAAGACAGAGAAAUGGAGGGGAGAAAACUAUUAAAAUAAGUAAUAAGAAAACUUUCCCCAGAAGUGCAGAAUCUGAAUUUCCAGUAUAAAAGGGUCCAUUGAGCGCCAAGAACAAUGAAGGAAAAAAGGUCCCACUCAGGCCUACGUAUCAUUGUGAAAUUUCAGAACUAGAGGGAUAAAGAAAAGAUCCUAAAAGCUUCCCGAGAGAUAAAAAAGAAGAUUUUUACAAAGGAUCAGCAAUCAGAAUUGCCUCAGACUGCUCAAUAAAAACAUCAGAAGCUAGAAGAAAAUAGAAUGAGGCAUCAAAAUCCUGAGGGAAAUGAUUCCCACCUAUAAUUUCAUAUUCUGCUCAAUUAUCAAUUGAGUAUUGAAGGGAAAUAAAGACAUUUUUAGACAUGCAGUUUCUCCACUUGAUCUUAGCCCAAAGGCCGAGAGGCAAUGACAUGCAGUUUCUCAAAAGGUUUGCUUCCCACUUUCUUGGAAAAAACCAAGAAAGAGGGGGCCUGGGGAACCAGGGGAUCCCAACACAGGAGAGUGGCAGAGGAAGCUCCCAGGAUGAUGGAAAAU
This 1050-nucleotide long non-coding RNA is filed under the name Homo sapiens (human). Its description in RNAcentral is "HSALNT0362682". Lineage: Eukaryota; Metazoa; Chordata; Mammalia; Primates; Hominidae. The record is from RNAcentral.